UACGGGGGGAGCAAGCGUUGUUCGGAUUUACUGGGCGUAAAGGGCGCGUAGGCGGCCACUGCAGGUCAGUUGGGAAAUCUCUGGGCUUAACCCGGAAAGGUCAACUGAUACUGCAGGGCUAGAGUGCAGAAGGGGCAACUGGAAUUCUCGGUGUAGCGGUGAAAUGCGUAGAUAUCGAGAGGAACACCUGCGGCGAAGGCGGGUUGCUGGGCUGACACUGACGCUGAGGCGCGAAAGCCAGGGGAGCGAACGGG
RNAcentral lists this ribosomal RNA (254 nucleotides) under uncultured bacterium. RNAcentral's name for it is "partial 16S ribosomal RNA". It matches the Rfam family "Bacterial small subunit ribosomal RNA", at positions 524 to 776 of the family's 1533-position model. The record is from RNAcentral.